RNAcentral lists this ribosomal RNA (446 nucleotides) under uncultured bacterium. Its description in RNAcentral is "partial 16S ribosomal RNA". It matches the Rfam family "Bacterial small subunit ribosomal RNA", at positions 330 to 792 of the family's 1533-position model. The record is from RNAcentral.
UCCAGACUCCUACGGGAGGCAGCAGUGGGGGAUAUUGCACAAUGGGGGGAACCCUGAUGCAGCGACGCCGCGUGGGUGAAGAAGCGCCUCGGCGCGUAAAGCCCUGUCAGCAGGGAAGAAGGAGGACGGUACCUGACUAAGAAGCCCCGGCUAACUACGUGCCAGCAGCCGCGGUAAUACGUAGGGGGCAAGCGUUAUCCGGAUUUACUGGGUGUAAAGGGGGCGCAGACGGCAGCGCAAGCCAGGAGUGAAAGCCCGGGGCCCAACCCCGGGACUGCUCUUGGAACUGCGCGGCUGGAGUGCAGGAGGGGCAGGCGGAAUUCCUGGUGUAGCGGUGAAAUGUGUAGAUAUCAGGAGGAACACCGGUGGCGAAGGCGGCCUGCUGGACUGCGACUGACGUUGAGGCCCGAAAGCGUGGGGAGCAAACAGGAUUAGAUACCCGGGUA